This 321-nucleotide ribosomal RNA is filed under the name Sandona sp. RNAcentral's name for it is "SSU rRNA". The stretch from base 112 to 321 matches the Rfam family "Eukaryotic small subunit ribosomal RNA", at positions 744 to 955 of the family's 1831-position model. The record is from RNAcentral. Lineage: Eukaryota; Cercozoa; Glissomonadida; Sandonidae.
GAUUUCUGGCUUGAAACAUUUUGCCGGCCACGGUUUCGUGUGUUAGUGCUUGAUGUUCUGGCCAUCCUUCCAAUCGCUAUUGGCUUGUCUUCAUUGAUUGGUCAGUAGUAUUGGAUCUUUUACUUUGAAAAAAUUAGAGUGUUUAAAGCAGGCUUUUGCUAUGAAUACAUUAGCAUGGAAUAAUAAUCUAGGACUUCGGUUCUAUUUUGUUGGUUUCUAUAACUGAAGUAAUGAUUGAUAGGGAUAGUUGGGGGUGCUAGUAUUCCGCGGCCAGAGGUGAAAUUCUUGGAUUCGUGGAAGACUAACUACUGCGAAAGCAUU